UUUGAUAAUCCUAAGCUCACAACUCUCAUCAACCAAACCAGAAUUGCAACAACGGACUCUAACUUCUCCUGAUGUUCAGACAAGCUA
Neltuma alba is the source of this 87-nucleotide long non-coding RNA. RefSeq lists it as uncharacterized. The transcript is spliced from 3 exons. The record is from RefSeq and is a predicted model, not a curated record. Lineage: Eukaryota; Viridiplantae; Streptophyta; Magnoliopsida; Fabales; Fabaceae.